AGGAUGAACACUGGCGGCGUGCCUAACACAUGCAAGUCGAACGUCCUGUCUCGCAAGAGGCAGGGAGUGGCGGACGGGUGAGUACCACGUGGGUCAUCUACCGUGAGGUGAGGAAUACCGGCGAGAAAUCGCCGACAAGACCGCAUAGGCUCGAUGCAAGUCGAGCAAAGCUCUUUCGAGAGAGGGAGCGCCACACGAGGAGCCUGCGCCCGAUUAGCUAGCUGGUGGAGUAACGGUUCACCAGGGCGACGAUCGGUAGCUGGUCUGAGAGGACGAUCAGCCACACUGGGAUUGAGAACGGCCCAGACUCCUACGGGGGGCAGCAGUGAGGAAUUUUCGUCAAUGGGGGCAACCCUGAACGAGCAACGCCGCGUGCAGGAAGAAGGUUUUCGGAUCGUAAACUGCUUUUCUCGGGGAAGAGAACGGACGGUACCCGAGGAAUCAGCCCCGGCUAACUACGUGCCAGCAGCCGCGGU
This 476-nucleotide ribosomal RNA is filed under the name uncultured bacterium. RNAcentral describes it as "SSU rRNA". It matches the Rfam family "Bacterial small subunit ribosomal RNA", at positions 26 to 521 of the family's 1533-position model. The record is from RNAcentral.